CGUGUAGGCGGGGAUGCAAGUCUGAUGUGAAAGCCCCGGGCUUAACCUGGGAAGUGCAUUGGAAACUGCAUUUCUUGAGUACUGGAGAGGAAGGGGGAAUUCCCGGUGUAGAGGUGAAAUUCGUAGAGAUCGGGAGGAAUACCAGUGGCGUAGGCGCCCUUCUGGACGGUUACUGACGCUGAGACGCGAAAGCGUGGGGAGCAAACAGGAUUAGAUACCCUGGUAGUCCACGCUGUAAACGAUGAUCACUAGGUGUAGCGGGUACUCAUUCCUGCUGUGCCGCAGCUAACGCGUUAAGUGAUCCGCCUGGGGAUUACGGUCGCAAGACUAAAA
Molecule: ribosomal RNA, 333 nt
Filed under: uncultured bacterium
Lineage: Bacteria
Description: bacterial SSU rRNA
Rfam family: Bacterial small subunit ribosomal RNA
Source: RNAcentral